This 1346-nucleotide ribosomal RNA is filed under the name uncultured bacterium. Its description in RNAcentral is "partial 16S ribosomal RNA". It matches the Rfam family "Bacterial small subunit ribosomal RNA", at positions 28 to 1381 of the family's 1533-position model. The record is from RNAcentral.
GACGAACGCUGUUUGCGUGCUUAACACAUGCAAGUCGAACGGAAAGGCCCUGCUUUUGUGGGGUGCUCGAGUGGCGAACGGGUGAGUAACACGUGAGUAACCUGCCCUUGACUUUGGGAUAACUUCAGGAAACUGGGGCUAAUACCGGAUAGGAGCUCCUGCUGCAUGGUGGGGGUUGGAAAGUUUCGGCGGUUGGGGAUGGACUCGCGGCUUAUCAGCUUGUUGGUGGGGUAGUGGCUUACCAAGGCUUUGACGGGUAGCCGGCCUGAGAGGGUGACCGGCCACAUUGGGACUGAGAUACGGCCCAGACUCCUACGGGAGGCAGCAGUGGGGAAUAUUGCACAAUGGGCGGAAGCCUGAUGCAGCAACGCCGCGUGCGGGAUGACGGCCUUCGGGUUGUAAACCGCUUUCGCCUGUGACGAAGCGUGAGUGACGGUAAUGGGUAAAGAAGCACCGGCUAACUACGUGCCAGCAGCCGCGGUGAUACGUAGGGUGCGAGCGUUGUCCGGAUUUAUUGGGCGUAAAGGGCUCGUAGGUGGUUGAUCGCGUCGGAAGUGUAAUCUUGGGGCUUAACCCUGAGCGUGCUUUCGAUACGGGUUGACUUGAGGAAGGUAGGGGAGAAUGGAAUUCCUGGUGGAGCGGUGGAAUGCGCAGAUAUCAGGAGGAACACCAGUGGCGAAGGCGGUUCUCUGGGCCUUUCCUGACGCUGAGGAGCGAAAGCGUGGGGAGCGAACAGGCUUAGAUACCCUGGUAGUCCACGCUGUAAACGGUGGGUACUAGGUGUGGGGUCCAUUCCACGGGUUCCGUGCCGUAGCUAACGCUUUAAGUACCCCGCCUGGGGAGUACGGCCGCAAGGCUAAAACUCAAAGGAAUUGACGGGGCCCCGCACAAGCGGCGGAGCAUGCGGAUUAAUUCGAUGCAACGCGUAGAACCUUACCUGGGUUUGACAUGGAUCGGGAGUGCUCAGAGAUGGGUGUGCCUCUUUUGGGGUCGGUUCACAGGUGGUGCAUGGCUGUCGUCAGCUCGUGUCGUGAGAUGUUGGGUUAAGUCCCGCAACGAGCGCAACCCUUGUUCACUGUUGCCAGCACGUUAUGGUGGGGACUCAGUGGAGACCGCCGGGGUCAACUCGGAGGAAGGUGGGGAUGACGUCAAGUCAUCAUGCCCCUUAUGUCCAGGGCUUCACGCAUGCUACAAUGGCUGGUACAGAGAGUGGCGAGCCUGUGAGGGUGAGCGAAUCUCGGAAAGCCGGUCCCAGUUCGGAUUGGGGUCUGCAACUCGACCUCAUGAAGUCGGAGUCGCUAGUAAUCGCAGAUCAGCAACGCUGCGGUGAAUACGUUCCCGGGGCU